RNAcentral lists this ribosomal RNA (301 nucleotides) under uncultured bacterium. RNAcentral describes it as "partial 16S ribosomal RNA". It matches the Rfam family "Bacterial small subunit ribosomal RNA", at positions 509 to 807 of the family's 1533-position model. The record is from RNAcentral.
CAGCAGCCACGGGAAUACGGAGGGUGCAAGCGUUAAUCGGAAUUACUGGGCGUAAAGCGUGCGUAGGCGGUUUGUUAAGUCUGCUGUGAAGUCCCCGGGCUCAACCUGGGAAUGGCAGUGGAUACUGGCAAGCUAGAGUGUGUCAGAGGAUGGUGGAAUUCCCGGUGUAGCGGUGAAAUGCGUAGAGAUCGGGAGGAACAUCAGUGGCGAAGGCGGCCAUCUGGGACAACACUGACGCUGAGGCACGAAAGCGUGGGGAGCAAACAGGAUUAGAUACCCGCGUAGUCCCUGUCUCUUAUAC